GUCGUAACAAGGUUUCCGUAGGUGAACCUGCGGAAGGAUCAUUAUUGAAUAAACCUGAUGUGGUUGUAGCUGACUCUCCGGAGUAUGUGCACACCCGUCAUCUUUAUAUUUCCACCUGUGAACACACUGUAGUCCUGGAUACCUCUCGCCGCAAGGCGGAUGCGGAGUUUGCGCAAGCUUACUCUGAAUUUCCAGGUCUAUGAUUUUACAAACCCCAAUUGAAUGUUACAGAAUGUUAUCAUCAGGCCUUGUGCCUAUAAAUUAUACAACUUUCAGCAACGGAUCUCUUGGCUCUCGCAUCGAUGAAGAACGCAGCGAAAUGCGAUAAGUAAUGUGAAUUGCAGAAUUCAGUGAAUCAUCGAAUCUUUGAACGCACCUUGCGCUCCUUGGUAUUCCGAGGAGCAUGCCUGUUUGAGUGUCAUUAAAUUCUCAACCUCACCAAUUUUGUUAUGAAAUUGUGUGUAGGCUUGGAUGUGGGGGUUGCAGGUCCACUUUGUGGUCUGCUCCUCUGAAAUGUAUUAGUGGGUUUGGCCCCUAAUCUAUUGGUGUGAUAAUUAUCUACGCCGUGGAUUGGAUGGCUAUUUGAGACCUGCUUCUAACCGUCCUUCACAGGACAACUCUUGACAUUUUUGACCUCAAAUCAGGAAAGACUACCCGCUGAACUUAAG
Molecule: ribosomal RNA, 668 nt
Filed under: Coprinopsis candidolanata
Lineage: Eukaryota; Fungi; Basidiomycota; Agaricomycetes; Agaricales; Psathyrellaceae
Description: eukaryotic LSU rRNA
Rfam family: 5.8S ribosomal RNA (bases 268-421)
Source: RNAcentral